This 28-nucleotide non-coding RNA is filed under the name Bombyx mori (domestic silkworm). Lineage: Eukaryota; Metazoa; Arthropoda; Insecta; Lepidoptera; Bombycidae. The record is from RNAcentral.
UAACUACAUACCCGAUCCUGCGGACGAA